GACGUAGGUGGCGAGCGUUACCCGGAUUCACUGGGCGUAAAGGGCGCGUAGGCGGUUUGGCAAGUCGCCUGCGAAAGCCCCCGGCUCAACUGGGGGAGGUCGGGCGAAACUGCUAGGCUGGAGGACGGCAGAGGAAGGUGGAACGACCGGAGUAGCGGUGAAAUGCGUAGAUACCGGUCGGUAUCCCGAUGGCGAAGGCAACCUUCUGGGUCGUUCCUGACGCUGAGGCGCGAAAGCGUGGGGAGCAAACCGG
This 253-nucleotide ribosomal RNA is filed under the name uncultured microorganism. RNAcentral's name for it is "partial small subunit ribosomal RNA". It matches the Rfam family "Bacterial small subunit ribosomal RNA", at positions 524 to 776 of the family's 1533-position model. The record is from RNAcentral.